ACUCACUCUCACACUCACACACACACACACACACACACACACUUAUAGGCAUUUACGUGUCCUAUGGACUCUAUGCAUAUCAUUCACAGUGUUCCCCACAGAAUUGGAUUCUAUUUGUGGUGGUAGCCGACUUGGACGGGGAGACCUUUGAUGUCCACUGUAUUGGUGUACAGUAUUGGUGGUCAGCUAUAGAAAUAGCAAGCACCUGUAGGAAAUGUGGGAGGGGCUUUGACGCUGCCUCUGAAGGUCAGACACUUUGCCCAAGGUGCAAAGUGGCAGGGAAGGCCCAGCGGAAUAUUGUCUUCAGGAAGUGGAUACCGUGUGGCCAGUGUCAGGCUUGUCAGACGACCACUGACUGCGGUGCCUGUGCCAGCUGCAGGACU
Long non-coding RNA from Alosa alosa (allis shad), 383 nucleotides. RefSeq lists it as uncharacterized. The transcript is spliced from 4 exons. NCBI's taxonomy places the organism in Eukaryota, Metazoa, Chordata, Actinopteri, Clupeiformes, Clupeidae. The record is from RefSeq and is a predicted model, not a curated record.